Molecule: ribosomal RNA, 492 nt
Filed under: uncultured bacterium
Lineage: Bacteria
Description: partial 16S ribosomal RNA
Rfam family: Bacterial small subunit ribosomal RNA
Source: RNAcentral
AUUGAACGCUGGCGGCAUGCUUUACACAUGCAAGUCGAACGGUAACAGGCCUUCGGGUGCUGACGAGUGGCGAACGGGUGAGUAAUGCAUCGGAACGUACCCAGAGGUGGGGGAUAACGCAGCGAAAGCUGUGCUAAUACCGCAUGUGAUCUGAGGAUGAAAGCGGGGGACCGAGCAGCAAUGUUUGGCCUUGCGCCUUUGGAGCGGCCGAUGUCGGAUUAGCUAGUUGGUGGGGUAAAGGCCUACCAAGGCGACGAUCCGUAGCUGGUCUGAGAGGACGACCAGCCACACUGGGACUGAGACACGGCCCAGACUCCUACGGGAGGCAGCAGUGGGGAAUUUUGGACAAAGGGCGCAAGCCUGAUCCAGCAAUGCCGCGUGCGGGAAGAAGGCCUUCGGGUUGUAAACCGCUUUUGGCAGGAACGAAACGGUGUCCGCUAAUACCGGGCGCUAAUGACGGUACCUGCAGAAUAAGCACCGGCUAACUACGUG